AACUCGGCAAAAUGACCCCGUAACUUAGGGAUAAGGGGUGCCACCAUCCGGUGGCCGCAGAGAAUAGGCCCAAGCGACUGUUUACCAAAAACAUAGGUUUCUGCUAAGUCGCAAGACGAUGUAUAGGGGCUGACGCCUGCCCGGUGCUGGAAGGUUAAGGGGAUCUGUUAGAGCAAUCGAAGCAGUGAACUUAAGCCCCAGUAAACGGCGGCCGUAACUAUAACGGUCCUAAGGUGACGAAAUUCCUUGUCGGGUAAGUUCCGACCCG
This 268-nucleotide ribosomal RNA is filed under the name Clostridioides difficile. Its description in RNAcentral is "partial 23S ribosomal RNA". It matches the Rfam family "Bacterial large subunit ribosomal RNA", at positions 1711 to 1990 of the family's 2925-position model. The record is from RNAcentral. Lineage: Bacteria; Bacillati; Bacillota; Clostridia; Peptostreptococcales; Peptostreptococcaceae.